Terfezia claveryi is the source of this 84-nucleotide non-coding RNA. The record is from the annotation of a GenBank genome assembly. NCBI's taxonomy places the organism in Eukaryota, Fungi, Ascomycota, Pezizomycetes, Pezizales, Pezizaceae.
GACUGAUUGGCGCAAUGGUAGCGCGUUUGAUUCCAAUCUAUGGAUUAUAUCAAAAGGUUGCGUGUUCGAGUCACGUAUCGGUCA